Molecule: ribosomal RNA, 628 nt
Filed under: uncultured bacterium
Lineage: Bacteria
Description: bacterial SSU rRNA
Rfam family: Bacterial small subunit ribosomal RNA (bases 1-542)
Source: RNAcentral
CCUACGGGAGGCAGCAGUGGGGAAUUUUGGACAAUGGGCGCAAGCCUGAUCCAGCAAUGCCGCGUGCAGGAUGAAGGCCUUCGGGUUGUAAACUGCUUUUGUACGGAACGAAACGGUGAGCUCUAAUACAGUUUGCUAAUGACGGUACCGUAAGAAUAAGCACCGGCUAACUACGUGCCAGCAACCGCGGUAAUACGUAGGGUGCGAGCGUUAAUCGGAAUUACUGGGCGUAAAGCGUGCGCAGGCGGUGAUGUAAGACAGAUGUGAAAUGCCCGGGCUCAACCUGGGACCUGCAUUUGUGACUGCAUCGCUAGAGUACGGUAGAGGGGGAUGGAAUUCCGCGUGUAGCAGUGAAAUGCGUAGAUAUGCGGAGGAACACCGAUGGCGAAGGCAAUCCCCUGGACCUGUACUGACGCUCAUGCACGAAAGCGUGGGGAGCAAACAGGAUUAGAUACCCUGGUAGUCCACGCCCUAAACGAUGUCAACUGGUUGUUGGGUCUUCACUGACUCAGUAACGAAGCUAACGCGUGAAGUUGACCGCCUGGGGNGGUACGGCCGCGAGUAGUAACGUACGAAGUAGAGUAGACGGACGUUGAGACGNGCGACGGACGACGACGAGGGAGGUAGG